Non-coding RNA from Arachis ipaensis, 167 nucleotides. The record is from RefSeq and is a predicted model, not a curated record. NCBI's taxonomy places the organism in Eukaryota, Viridiplantae, Streptophyta, Magnoliopsida, Fabales, Fabaceae.
UUCAUUAUUUUUUAGAGCUGAUGAAGGUGCCACGAGUAGAGUCAAAGUUAAGAGUAUUCUCUUUCAAGAUUCAAUUUCUGUCUCAGGUUACAGAAUUUAAGAAGAGUUUAAAUGCUGUGAACUCUGCUUGUGAAGAGGUCCGAAAGUCUGUCAAGCUGAAGAUCAUG